RNAcentral lists this ribosomal RNA (402 nucleotides) under uncultured bacterium. RNAcentral describes it as "bacterial SSU rRNA". It matches the Rfam family "Bacterial small subunit ribosomal RNA", at positions 29 to 413 of the family's 1533-position model. The record is from RNAcentral.
AAUCAACGCUGGCGGCGUGCCUAACACAUGCAAGUCGAACGCGAAAGGUUCCUUCGGGGACCCGGUAGAGUGGCGGACGGGUGAGUAACACGUGGGUAAUCUGCCUUUGGGUGGGGAAUAACCCUUCGAAAGGGGGCGUAAUACCGCAUAACGCAGCGGCACCGAAUGGUGACAGUUGUUAAAGUGGGGAGUCNCAAGACCUCACGCCUGAAGAGGAGCCCGCGCCCGAUUAGCUAGUUGGUGCGGUAANGGCGUACCAAGGCGACGAUCGGUAGCCGGCCUGAGAGGGCGGACGGCCACACUGGCACUGGAGAGACGGGCCAGACUCCUACGGGAGGCAGCAGUGGGGAAUUUUGGCAAUGGGCGCAAGCCUGACCCAGCAACGCCGCGUGAAGGACGAAA